This 1226-nucleotide ribosomal RNA is filed under the name Campylobacter coli. RNAcentral's name for it is "partial 23S ribosomal RNA". It matches the Rfam family "Bacterial large subunit ribosomal RNA", at positions 1711 to 2925 of the family's 2925-position model. Lineage: Bacteria; Pseudomonadati; Campylobacterota; Epsilonproteobacteria; Campylobacterales; Campylobacteraceae. The record is from RNAcentral.
AACUCUGCAAAAUAGCACCGUAUCUUCGGUAUAAGGUGUGGUUCGCUUCGUAUUAGGAUUUACUCCGAAAGCGAAGAAACUUACAACAAAGAGUCCCUCCCGACUGUUUACCAAAAACACAGCACUCUGCUAACUCGUAAGAGGAUGUAUAGGGUGUGACGCCUGCCCGGUGCUCGAAGGUUAAUUGAUGGGGUUAGCAUUAGCGAAGCUCUUGAUCGAAGCCCGAGUAAACGGCGGCCGUAACUAUAACGGUCCUAAGGUAGCGAAAUUCCUUGUCGGUUAAAUACCGACCUGCAUGAAUGGCGUAACGAGAUGGGAGCUGUCUCAAAGAGGGAUCCAGUGAAAUUGUAGUGGAGGUGAAAAUUCCUCCUACCCGCGGCAAGACGGAAAGACCCCGUGGACCUUUACUACAGCUUGACACUGCUAUUUGGAUAAGAAUGUGCAGGAUAGGUGGGAGGCUUUGAGUAUAUGACGCCAGUUGUAUAUGAGCCAUUGUUGAGAUACCACUCUUUCUUAUUUGGGUAGCUAACCAGCUUGAGUUAUCCUCAAGUGGGACAAUGUCUGGUGGGUAGUUUGACUGGGGCGGUCGCCUCCCAAAUAAUAACGGAGGCUUACAAAGGUUGGCUCAGAACGGUUGGAAAUCGUUCGUAGAGUAUAAAGGUAUAAGCCAGCUUAACUGCAAGACAUACAAGUCAAGCAGAGACGAAAGUCGGUCUUAGUGAUCCGGUGGUUCUGUGUGGAAGGGCCAUCGCUCAAAGGAUAAAAGGUACCCCGGGGAUAACAGGCUGAUCUCCCCCAAGAGCUCACAUCGACGGGGAGGUUUGGCACCUCGAUGUCGGCUCAUCGCAUCCUGGGGCUGGAGCAGGUCCCAAGGGUAUGGCUGUUCGCCAUUUAAAGCGGUACGCGAGCUGGGUUCAGAACGUCGUGAGACAGUUCGGUCCCUAUCUGCCGUGGGCGUAAGAAGAUUGAAGAGAUUUGACCCUAGUACGAGAGGACCGGGUUGAACAAACCACUGGUGUAGCUGUUGUUCUGCCAAGAGCAUCGCAGCGUAGCUAAGUUUGGAAAGGAUAAACGCUGAAAGCAUCUAAGCGUGAAGCCAACUCUAAGAUGAAUCUUCUCUAAGCUCUCUAGAAGACUACUAGUUUGAUAGGCUGGGUGUGUAAUGGAUGAAAGUCCUUUAGCUGACCAGUACUAAUAGAGCGUUUGGCUUAUCUUUAAUAAAGCAU